UGAUAAUAAAAGUAGGGAUCCCGGUGGCAGGGCAGUUAUGGUGAGGACCGACCUGCGCACGGGAGGCCAGGUCGUGUUCUCCCGCGGAUUAGGCUGUUAAGCGAUUCUGGCCAAACGCCAAGCCACCAUGGCUGCUCCACCUCCACGGAGAGGCAAGGACACCACUAGGACAGCAUGGCCAUCAUCCCUCUCCCUCCUCCUGCCGCUGGUUCUCGUCCUGCUGAUCACUCUAGUUCACUCGCGGCCGCAGGGGCUCACCUCCACAAUCUCCGGCCAAAAAGGUGAUGCAGGCUCUGAAUUUCGGGCAUGGCGGAGGGAUGCAAUCAGCUGGCCGGACAGGAUGACCGAUCUGGCGCCGCCCGCGCCCAAGCCCAACAGCAACGUCCCCGGCGGGCCCUUCGGUUGACGGAUCAAGAUCAGGUUUCAUUUGUGAUAUGCCCAAUGACCAUCUUUUGAAGAUCAGUAUAUCGUGCUACGAGGAUAGCAACUCGCAUGAUAUUCCUCCAUGUGUGUGUGCAUUUCUUUUUUUUUUUGGCUAUUUUGUUUCCUUGUAACGAACGAACUGGUGAAACUUAAGCAUGCAUGUCUGCAACGGAUCCUGUCGCUGCAAAAUACAACUUGCGUGGAGAAGAACAAUAUGCAUUUUCGA
Long non-coding RNA from Setaria italica (foxtail millet), 649 nucleotides. RefSeq lists it as uncharacterized. Lineage: Eukaryota; Viridiplantae; Streptophyta; Magnoliopsida; Poales; Poaceae. The record is from RefSeq and is a predicted model, not a curated record. The transcript is spliced from 3 exons.